This is a long non-coding RNA of Hyla sarda, 440 nucleotides long. RefSeq lists it as uncharacterized. The record is from RefSeq and is a predicted model, not a curated record. NCBI's taxonomy places the organism in Eukaryota, Metazoa, Chordata, Amphibia, Anura, Hylidae. The transcript is spliced from 3 exons.
UCUGCCUCCUGUCACUCACAUGCUGUCCUGCUAACUCAUACAGGCUUCCACUGUGAGCUCCGUGUAAGCCCCGCCCCCCAGUGCAGCCAUAGCCAAUAGCCUGCAGCAUCUUGCUGCAGGCAUCCAAUGAGCUGCUGGCUGCCCUCCCCUUCCUUUCCUAUAGAGCUGUAGUCGGCAGGAUGGUAAUGGAGGACAUUCUGUCCCCCCUGAAGAGACCUUUACCAGGGUGCCCCGGGGGUCUGAUACCCCCAUGGUUCACUAGAACAAAGCUGCUAAAGCAACGGGAAGAAGAAAGAAAGAAGAAGAGAAGAAGAAAUCUCUAGAAGACCCUAUGGACGGGGCAUAUUGAGACAGAUAUAGUAACUGUUGGUAUUGGACACCUUUAGAAACUUUUCUUGACAGCUACUUUGCAUAUCACAAGCAAUAAAAAACUGAACAAA